UUUGCUCCGUGCGAUAUUUGAAUUGAUUGAAAGGUGAAGGGCCAGUUCAAAAGAUGGGUGAGAGAGGGAAAAUAGGCGGGACCGCGACGCGGGAUGAGAAGGAGUGGAGCAGUCGGGGCGCUCACGUCAGGCAGAGGAGCCUCUCCUAUAGCCACCACCACCACCUGUUCAUGGGGGUUUCUGCCAGGCCACGGCUGAUGAUCACAUAAAGCUCAAGCAUUCUUCUGUCAGCUUGCGGUGAAUGCUGCCAGGCCUAGAACUCACCCUUCAGGGCAGUGGGCUCCCCUCUGGCCCAGGGCAGAUCCAGAAAUGCUGUCAAGAGCCUAAGCCUGGACUCGAGGACUCCCCCAAGAACCCUCUUGGUGCUCUACCCCUCUGUGGCUGAACUGGUACCUAAGGUGCAAGACAAAGCCUCCUUUAUGUUUCCCUCUGCUUUUCUCAAAUAGAAGGAGUCUUCCAUUGUAGCCACCACAGCUGGGAAUGUGCUGGGUCACCCCUGAAGCCAGCAUAUCUCAGAGCCCAAGGCCCACAGCAUACUCGCUGGUAUUGCUGCUAUUCAGGGCCCAAGGACUGAUGAAUCCUGCCAGGACUGAGUCCUUCCUUUCAAGGCAGUAGGUUCCCUUUUGGCCCAAGGUGUGUCUAGAAAUGUUGUCUAGGAGCUAGGGCCUGGGAUGGGAGCCUCAUCACCCUGCUCAAUGUCCUAUCGUACUGUGGCUGAGCUGGUAUCCCAGAUACAAGACAAAGUCCUCUUUACUCUUUGCUCUCCUCUACUUAAGCAGAAGGAAAGAGUCACUUUGUUGCAGAGAGCUGCACUGCCUGGGGUUUGGGGAGGUAUGGCACAAGGUGUGCCAGCUGGUGUCACUCUAGGUCACUUACCAUGCUAGUUCACUGGCUGUAAGGCAAGCCUAGCAUUAGGAAUUGCCUAGGACUUGCAGUCCUUGUGUUCAGACUGCCUUUCAGGUUUACCUAGGACCCCAGAGCACUUCAGCCUGCUGUGGUGUGCCUUGCUGAGAAGCUCAAGUUCCAAUUGCUAGGCUAUUGCCCUCUGGCUAGGGAUGGUCCAAAUCCUCCCUCCAUGCGUGGGUGCUGGCUGAACCCAGCACAGCUUUAACUCUGCUGUGACAAGGCAGCACUGAAUAUAAUGUGAAGUCCAUCAGUCACUGCGCUCUCCCUCCCCAAAGUGCACAGAUUCUCUCUCCAUACCACAUGGCCACUGGUGGAGGAUGCGGGAGGGGUGGUGUCAGCAAUUCAAGACUAUUUCUCUUGCCUUCCUCAAUGCCUCUUUUGGAAAUUUGAAGUCAAAACCAGGUACCAUGAUUGUUCACCUGAUUUUUGGUUCUGUGUGCAGAUAGUCAUUAAAAUUUGAUGUUCCAGUAAGA
Molecule: long non-coding RNA, 1379 nt
Organism: Homo sapiens (human)
Lineage: Eukaryota; Metazoa; Chordata; Mammalia; Primates; Hominidae
Exons: 2
Source: RefSeq, a predicted model, not a curated record